This 1244-nucleotide ribosomal RNA is filed under the name metagenome. Its description in RNAcentral is "bacterial LSU rRNA". It matches the Rfam family "Bacterial large subunit ribosomal RNA", at positions 1564 to 2817 of the family's 2925-position model. The record is from RNAcentral.
UGAAUACGAGAUGCUACGGCGUCGAAGCAGUCUAUGUCAUACUUCCAAGAAAAGCUCGCACUGUCAUAAACAAAUAAUGCCUGUACCAUAACCGACACAGGUGGGUAGGUAGAGUAUACUAAGGGGCGCGAGAUAACUCUCUCUAAGGAACUCGGCAAAAUGACUCCGUAACUUCGGGAGAAGGAGUGCCUUAUUUAUAAGGUUGCAAUAACAAGAUCCAAGCAACUGUUUAUCAAAAACACAGGUCUCCGCUAAGUCGUAAGACGAUGUAUGGGGGGCUGACGCCUGCCCAGUGCCAGAAGGUUAAAGAAGUUGGUUAGCAUUCGCGAAGCUGAUAACUGAAGCCCUGGUGAACGGCGGCCGUAACAAUAACGGUCCUAAGGUAGCGAAAUUCCUUGUCGGGUAAGUUCCGACCCGCACGAAAGGCGUAAUGAUUUGGAUACUGUCUCGGAGAGGGGCUCGGUGAAAUAGACUUGUCUGUGAAGAUGCGGACUACCUGCACCAGGACAGAAAGACCCUAUGAAGCUUUACUGUAACUUGAGAUUGAAAUUGGACUUUACUUGCGCAGUAUAGGUGGGAGGCGUUGAUAAUAUUCUUGCGGGAUUAUUUGAGCCAUCAGUGAGAUACCACUCUUGUAAUGUUAGAUUUCUAACUUUGUAUCAUUAUCUGGUCAAAGGACAGUUUCAGGCGGGCAGUUUGACUGGGGCGGUCGCCUCCUAAACGGUAACGGAGGCGCACAAAGGUUUCCUCUGAACGGGUAGAAAUCGUAUCUAGAGUGUAAAGGCAUAAGGAAGCUUGACUGUGAGACCUACAAGUCGAGCAGGGACGAAAGUCGGUCUUAGUGAUCUGACGGUGCUGAGUGGAAAGGCCGUCACUCAACGGAUAAAAGUUACUCUAGGAUAACAGGCUGAUCUCCCCCAAGAGUUCACAUCGACGGGGAGGUUUAGCACCUCGAUGUCGGCUCAUCGCAUCCUGGGGCGGUAGUACGUCCCAAGGGUUGGGCUGUUCGCCAAUGAAAGCGGUACGCGAGCUGGGUUCAGAACGUCGUGAGACAGUUCGGUCCAUAUCCGGUGUAGGCGUUAGAAUAUUGAGAGGAGCCUUCUUUAGUACGAGAGGACCGAGAAGGACAUACCUCUGGUGUACCAGUUAUCGUGCCAACGGUAAACGCUGGGUAGCUAUGUAUGGAGUGGAUAACCGCUGAAAGCAUCUAAGUGGGAAGCCCACCUCAAGAUAAGUAUUCCCAU